Long non-coding RNA from Pogoniulus pusillus (Red-fronted tinkerbird), 559 nucleotides. RefSeq lists it as uncharacterized. The transcript has 3 exons. Lineage: Eukaryota; Metazoa; Chordata; Aves; Piciformes; Lybiidae. The record is from RefSeq and is a predicted model, not a curated record.
AAGAGGACAAGUACAUCCACAAGUGGGAGGAACAUCAAUGCUUGAUGGAAGGUUCUGUGAACUGAACACUGGAUCUGGCACCCUAAUUUGAUUAACUAGGAGACAGAUUUUCCAGUAUGGAAGGUAAAAGUGUCCCAUCAUGGGGUUCAAUGUUCUGUCCCUCUAGCAGUUACUCUUACCUGGAAAAUUGCUGGGAGAAGUCUCCUUUUCCUCUGGUUCUUUUGGAUCUGCAGUCCACAGCUUGCCACAGUGGACACGUCCCUAAUUCACAGAAGUUUUACUGGGACAAGGUCAUUUUUAAUAGUCUGAAACUAGAAGUAGGAUUCCAGAUGUUACCUGCGAAGUCCACCUGCUAGGGUGGACUUCCUGUGCUCUUUAUCACCAGUGGCAAGAGUUGAUAUAGAAAGUGGAGUUAAAUGGACAAUUCAUCUGGCCAAGCAUAAAUGUUUACCGUGGGAUGUGAGGGACUGUUCCCUGGGUUCUGCUGAUUGUCUCUAAGCUGAGAGAGUCUGAGGUCUGGCUCAGACUCUUUGUGUUUGCAGAUGUCAUAAGUCAUCUG